AGGGCACCACCAGGAGUGGAGCCUGCGGCUUAAUUUGACUCAACACGGGAAAUCUCACCAGGCCCGGACACCGGAAGGAUUGACAGAUUGAGAGCUCUUUCUUGAUUCGGUGGGUGGUGGUGCAUGGCCGUUCUUAGUUGGUGGAGCGAUUUGUCUGGUUAAUUCCGAUAACGAACGAGACUCUGGCCUACUAACUAGACGUUAGAUCCCUUUGUGGGUCUAUCGCAGCUUCUUAGAGGGACGGGCGGCGUUUAGCCGCACGAGAUUGAGCAAUAACAGGUCUGUGAUGCCCUUAGAUGUUCUGGGCUGCACGCGCGCUACACUGAAGGAAUCAGCGUGUGUUCCCUGUCCGAAAGGACUGGGAAACCCGUUGAACCUCCUUCGUGAUGGGGAUUGGGGAUUGCAAUUAUUCCCCAUGAACGAGGAAUUCCCAGUAGGCGCGAGUCAUAAGCUUGCGUCGAUUACGUCCCUGCCCUUUGUACACACCGCCCGUCGCUACUACCGAUCGAGUGAUUUAGC
Molecule: ribosomal RNA, 519 nt
Filed under: uncultured eukaryote
Lineage: Eukaryota
Description: SSU rRNA
Rfam family: Eukaryotic small subunit ribosomal RNA
Source: RNAcentral